RNAcentral lists this ribosomal RNA (327 nucleotides) under Solva marginata. RNAcentral's name for it is "partial 12S ribosomal RNA". Lineage: Eukaryota; Metazoa; Arthropoda; Insecta; Diptera; Xylomyidae. The record is from RNAcentral.
GAGUAGUAAUAGUUAUGUUCUUGAAACUUAAAGAAUUUGGCGGUAUUUUAAUCUGUUCAGAGGAACCUGUUCUGUAAUCGAUAAUCCACGAGGACUUUACUUAAGUUUGUUUCCAACUUGUAUACCGCCGUUAUUGAUUAUCUUAUAAAAGUAACAAUUUUCUUAAUUUUUGAAAAAAUAUCAGGUCAAGGUGCAGUUUAUGUUUAAGGAAGAAAUGGGUUACAAUAAAUAUAUUUAAACGGAAGAUUUAUUGAAAUAUAAAUUAUAAGGUGGAUUUGAUAGUAAAAUUUUGUAUAUAGUAAAUUUGAUUUUAGCUCUAAAAUAUGU